GGGGCUGUUUAGGUUUCGAUAUUUAUAAAAAUAUAAAUGUGCAAGUAGAGGAAAUUUAAUGAACCUCUUAAAAAAAGCAUAAAAAAAAAUAAAUGCAAACAAAAUUUUAUCUUUUAACCGAAUGGCAGUAGCAGUAUAAGCUAACUAUUAUUCCUUAUUAUCAUUAAGAAGCUAAAGGGUGUGAUAAUAAAGUAAAAAACUUUAGUUGCGCAUGCGAUAAAUGAGGGACUUGAUAAGUAUGCAAAGAGAACUCUCAACUUUUUAAAAAAGCUUGCCUAAAAGUUUAGGCUAAACUUGUGAAGGAUCAUUUAUAUUUUUUUGGAUAGACGUGGGUUCGAAUCCCACCAGCUCCA
RNAcentral lists this transfer-messenger RNA (353 nucleotides) under Chrysoculter rhomboideus. It matches the Rfam family "transfer-messenger RNA". Rfam says of the family: Bacterial tmRNA, also known as 10Sa RNA or SsrA, is named for its dual tRNA and mRNA-like properties. Its role is to liberate the mRNA from a stalled ribosome. To accomplish this part of the tmRNA is used as a reading frame that ends in a translation stop signal. Lineage: Eukaryota; Haptophyta. The record is from RNAcentral.